GAUGAAGAACGCAGCGAAAUGCGAUAAGUAGUGUGAAUUGCAGAAUUCAGUGAAUCAUCGAAUCUUUGAACGCACAUUGCGCCUUUUGGUAUUCCUUAGGGCAUGCCUGUUCGAGCGUCAUUUAAACCUUCAAGCUAAGCUUGGUGUUGGGUGACUGUCCGCUUCACGGCGGACUCGCCUCAAAAUUAUUGGCGGCCGGUACAUUGGCUUCGAGCGCAGCAGAAACGCGAACUCGGGCCCGUCGUAUUGGCUCCCAGAAGCUAUCUUCACAAUUUUGACCUCGGAUCAGGUAGGGAUACCCGCUGAACUUAAGCAUAUCAAUAAGCGGAGGA
Molecule: unclassified non-coding RNA, 332 nt
Filed under: soil metagenome
Description: partial contains 5.8S ribosomal RNA, internal transcribed spacer 2, and large subunit ribosomal RNA
Rfam family: 5.8S ribosomal RNA (bases 1-120)
Source: RNAcentral